UACGGGGGGGGCAAGCGUUGUUCGGAAUUACUGGGCGUAAAGGGCGCGUAGGCGGUGCUCUAAGUUAGAUGUGAAAACUCUGGGCUCAACCCAGAGCCUGCAUCUAAAACUGGAGUGCUAGAGUUCUGGAGGGGGUAGCGGAAUUCCUGGUGUAGCGGUGAAAUGCGUAGAUAGCAGGAGGAACACCGGUGGCGAAGGCGGUUACCGGGACAGAAACUGACGCUGAGGCGCGAAAGCUAGGGGAGCAAACAGG
RNAcentral lists this ribosomal RNA (253 nucleotides) under uncultured bacterium. Its description in RNAcentral is "partial 16S ribosomal RNA". It matches the Rfam family "Bacterial small subunit ribosomal RNA", at positions 524 to 776 of the family's 1533-position model. The record is from RNAcentral.